GAUUGAACGCUGGCGGCAGGCCUAACACAUGCAAGUCGAGCGGUAGCACAGAGAGCUUGCUCUCGGGUGACGAGCGGCGGACGGGUGAGUAAUGUCUGGGAAACUGCCUGAUGGAGGGGGAUAACUACUGGAAACGGUAGCUAAUACCGCAUAACGUCGCAAGACCAAAGUGGGGGACCUUCGGGCCUCAUGCCAUCAGAUGUGCCCAGAUGGGAUUAGCUAGUAGGUGGGGUAACGGCUCACCUAGGCGACGAUCCCUAGCUGGUCUGAGAGGAUGACCAGCCACACUGGAACUGAGACACGGUCCAGACUCCUACGGGAGGCAGCAGUGGGGAAUAUUGCACAAUGGGCGCAAGCCUGAUGCAGCCAUGCCGCGUGUGUGAAGAAGGCCUUCGGGUUGUAAAGCACUUUCAGCGGGGAGGAAGGCGUUAAGGUUAAUAACCUUGGCGAUUGACGUUACCCGCAGAAGAAGCACCGGCUAACUCCGUGCCAGCAGCCGCGGUAAUACGGAGGGUGCAAGCGUUAAUCGGAAUUACUGGGCGUAAAGCGCACGCAGGCGGUCUGUCAAGUCGGAUGUGAAAUCCCCGGGCUCAACCUGGGAACUGCAUUCGAAACUGGCAGGCUAGAGUCUUGUAGAGGGGGGUAGAAUUCCAGGUGUAGCGGUGAAAUGCGUAGAGAUCUGGAGGAAUACCGGUGGCGAAGGCGGCCCCCUGGACAAAGACUGACGCUCAGGUGCGAAAGCGUGGGGAGCAAACAGGAUUAGAUACCCUGGUAGUCCACGCCGUAAACGAUGUCGAUUUGGAGGUUGUGCCCUUGAGGCGUGGCUUCCGGAGCUAACGCGUUAAAUCGACCGCCUGGGGAGUACGGCCGCAAGGUUAAAACUCAAAUGAAUUGACGGGGGCCCGCACAAGCGGUGGAGCAUGUGGUUUAAUUCGAUGCAACGCGAAGAACCUUACCUGGUCUUGACAUCCACAGAACUUUCCAGAGAUGGAUUGGUGCCUUCGGGAACUGUGAGACAGGUGCUGCAUGGCUGUCGUCAGCUCGUGUUGUGAAAUGUUGGGUUAAGUCCCGCAACGAGCGCAACCCUUAUCCUUUGUUGCCAGCGGUUAGGCCGGGAACUCAAAGGAGACUGCCAGCGAUAAACUGGAGGAAGGUGGGGAUGACGUCAAGUCAUCAUGGCCCUUACGACCAGGGCUACACACGUGCUACAAUGGCAUAUACAAAGAGAAGCGACCUCGCGAGAGCAAGCGGACCUCAUAAAGUAUGUCGUAGUCCGGAUUGGAGUCUGCAACUCGACUCCAUGAAGUCGGAAUCGCUAGUAAUCGUAGAUCAGAAUGCUACGGUGAAUACGUUCCCGGGCCUUG
RNAcentral lists this ribosomal RNA (1364 nucleotides) under uncultured Klebsiella sp. RNAcentral's name for it is "bacterial SSU rRNA". It matches the Rfam family "Bacterial small subunit ribosomal RNA", at positions 27 to 1383 of the family's 1533-position model. The record is from RNAcentral. Lineage: Bacteria; Pseudomonadati; Pseudomonadota; Gammaproteobacteria; Enterobacterales; Enterobacteriaceae.